UUGCGGGUGGACACAACGAAG
RNAcentral lists this non-coding RNA (21 nucleotides) under Arabidopsis thaliana (thale cress). Lineage: Eukaryota; Viridiplantae; Streptophyta; Magnoliopsida; Brassicales; Brassicaceae. The record is from RNAcentral.